UACGUAGGGUGCGAGCGUUGUCCGGAAUUAUUGGGCGUAAAGAGCUUGUAGGCGGUUUGUCGCGUCUGCUGUGAAAAUCCGGGGCUCAACCCCGGACGUGCAGUGGGUACGGGCAGACUAGAGUGUGGUAGGGGAGACUGGAAUUCCUGGUGUAGCGGUGAAAUGCGCAGAUAUCAGGAGGAACACCGAUGGCGAAGGCAGGUCUCUGGGCCACUACUGACGCUGAGAAGCGAAAGCAUGGGGAGCGAACAGG
This 253-nucleotide ribosomal RNA is filed under the name uncultured bacterium. Its description in RNAcentral is "partial 16S ribosomal RNA". It matches the Rfam family "Bacterial small subunit ribosomal RNA", at positions 524 to 776 of the family's 1533-position model. The record is from RNAcentral.